This 299-nucleotide long non-coding RNA is filed under the name Homo sapiens (human). RNAcentral's name for it is "HSALNT0146993". Lineage: Eukaryota; Metazoa; Chordata; Mammalia; Primates; Hominidae. The record is from RNAcentral.
CCAGUGAUAGCAGGAAAAUGCACAAUGUGAGUAGUGAUUCCUAAGCAUUUAAGGGGUGAUUUUCAAGUAAUAGAGUGAGCAGAAGACACCAUGUACAGGGACUCCAGAUGCCCCAGGCAGAGGUCUGCAUCUGCCAGUUCAGCCGGCCCUGACUGAAAAUAUUUGGGAAAAAAAUUACAAUUAAAAAGUAAGAAUAUUCACCUUCUGCCAUGAGCAAAAGCCUCCUGAAGCCUCACCAGAAGCUGAACAAAUGCUGGCGUCAUGCUUGUACAUCCUGCAGAAACGUGAGCCAAAUAAAU